GUGCCACACUUGGGGUAUUUGACAAACUGACACUCUACCACACGGAGUGUCCAACUCAGCUUGUCAAAUACACGGAGCGUGGCACU
RNAcentral lists this microRNA precursor (86 nucleotides) under Marmota monax (woodchuck). The record is from RNAcentral. Lineage: Eukaryota; Metazoa; Chordata; Mammalia; Rodentia; Sciuridae.